UCAAAUUAUAGCUUAUUGAGCAUCUUAUUUACAUUAAGAGGGUAUUUUAGAAAUUGAUUUG
Molecule: transfer RNA, 61 nt
Filed under: Cassidinae sp. ACP-2018
Lineage: Eukaryota; Metazoa; Arthropoda; Insecta; Coleoptera; Chrysomelidae
Description: tRNA-Val
Source: RNAcentral